Molecule: ribosomal RNA, 253 nt
Filed under: uncultured bacterium
Lineage: Bacteria
Description: partial 16S ribosomal RNA
Rfam family: Bacterial small subunit ribosomal RNA
Source: RNAcentral
UACGAAGGGGGCUAGCGUUGCUCGGAAUCACUGGGCGUAAAGGGUGCGUAGGCGGGUCUUUAAGUCGGGGGUGAAAUCCUGGAGCUCAACUCCAGAACUGCCUUCGAUACUGGCGAUCUCGAGUCCGGGAGAGGUGAGUGGAACUCCGAGUGUAGAGGUGAAAUUCGUAGAUAUUCGGAAGAACACCAGUGGCGAAGGCGGCUCACUGGCCCGGUACUGACGCUGAGGUGCGAAAGCGUGGGGAGCAAACAGG